RNAcentral lists this long non-coding RNA (490 nucleotides) under Numida meleagris (helmeted guineafowl). RNAcentral's name for it is "lncRNA (ENSNMEG00000001236.1)". The record is from RNAcentral. Lineage: Eukaryota; Metazoa; Chordata; Aves; Galliformes; Numididae.
CAACCCUUUAGGUCAGUGGAGAAAACAUGGGAGUUACAUGUGGACGUAACAGCCCACAGGAGAAGAUCAAACCAGGGGUCUGUUUCCAGGGCACCAAAAGCUAAGAAACAGGAUGUCUUCCCAGGGCUGAGGUGUCACCACUGAGAAUUAAGCUUGCAAAGGACAAACCAAUUCUGAAAUGUACCUGUCCCUUUCUACUUCAGAAGGAAAGGAAUUGGAAUGGAGGAAGUGAUUUCCUUACACAUACUUCUAUAAAUCCUCAUGGGACACAGUAUGGGAGCCCUUCCAGGAUGUGACCUUUAGAUAUUGACGGAGGAGGUGGAUAUGCAUAUAUUCUCAUAUUGUAAGUUAUGUAUUGACCAUAAUGGCAAUUUUCCCCAGUUCCUUUGUGAAUAGUUUCAUUUUUAGGUAUUUGUAUGGCAUCACAAUAUAGUUAGUCUUCCAUAAUAUAUAAUCUUUGGGUCAAUUCUGUUUAUCUAGAAUCUUAAGC